This 216-nucleotide ribosomal RNA is filed under the name Glomeromycotina sp. Its description in RNAcentral is "partial small subunit ribosomal RNA". The stretch from base 40 to 216 matches the Rfam family "Eukaryotic small subunit ribosomal RNA", at positions 686 to 864 of the family's 1831-position model. Lineage: Eukaryota; Fungi; Glomeromycota. The record is from RNAcentral.
GGGUCAGUAGGUUGGUCGUGCCACCGGUACGUACUGGUCUCACUGAUUCGUCCUUCCUGAAGAACCGUAAUGCCAUUAAUUUGGUGUUGCGGGGAAACAGGACUGUUACUUUGAAAAAAUUAGAGUGUUUAAAGCAAGCUAACGCUUGAAUACAUUGGCAUGGAAUAAUGAAAUAGGACGAUCGAUCCUAUUUUGUUGGUUUCUAGGAUUGACGUA